GCCUACGGGGGGCAGCAGUAGGGAAUCUUCCACGAUGGGCGAAAGCCUGAUGGAGCAACGCCGCGUGGGUGAAGAAGGUCUUCGGAUCGUAAAACCCUGUUGUUAGAGAAGAAAGUGCGUGAGAGUAACUGUUCACGUUUCGACGGUAUCUAACCAGAAAGCCACGGCUAACUACGUGCCAGCAGCCGCGGUAAUACGUAGGUGGCAAGCGUUAUCCGGAUUUAUUGGGCGUAAAGGGAACGCAGGCGGUCUUUUAAGUCUGAUGUGAAAGCCUUCGGCUUAACCGGAGUAGUGCUUUGGAAACU
RNAcentral lists this ribosomal RNA (305 nucleotides) under uncultured bacterium. RNAcentral's name for it is "bacterial SSU rRNA". It matches the Rfam family "Bacterial small subunit ribosomal RNA", at positions 337 to 634 of the family's 1533-position model. The record is from RNAcentral.